Molecule: transfer RNA, 74 nt
Filed under: Myxococcales bacterium
Lineage: Bacteria; Pseudomonadati; Myxococcota; Myxococcia; Myxococcales
Also listed under: 2 other names
Description: tRNA-Arg
Rfam family: tRNA
About the family: Transfer RNA (tRNA) molecules are approximately 80 nucleotides in length.
Source: RNAcentral
GCGCCUGUAGCUCAGUUGGAUAGAGCAGCGGCCUUCUAAGCCGACGGUCGGGGGUUCGAAUCCUCCCAGGCGCG